GCGGUCAUGAUGAAAUUGGCAGACAUGCAGGAUUUAGGUUCCUGUGCCGCAAGGCGUGUGGGUUCAAGUCCCACUGACCGCA
RNAcentral lists this transfer RNA (82 nucleotides) under Bacillota bacterium. RNAcentral describes it as "tRNA-Leu". It matches the Rfam family "tRNA". From Rfam's summary of the family: Transfer RNA (tRNA) molecules are approximately 80 nucleotides in length. RNAcentral also lists the same sequence under 6 other names. The record is from RNAcentral. Lineage: Bacteria; Bacillati; Bacillota.